CGGUCUGUGCAGUCGCGUGUGAAAUCCCGCAGCUCAACUGGGGAGGGUCACUCGAUACUGCUCAACUCGAAUGCGGGAGAGGUGAGUGGAACUCCCGGUGUAGAGGUGAAAUGCGUAGAUAUCCGGAGGAACACCAGUGGCGAAGGCGACUUCCUGGCCCGAUCCUGACGCUGAGGUGCGAAAGCUUGGGGAGCAAACGGGAUUAGAUACCCCGGUAGUCCUCGCCGUAAACGAUGGACGCUAGGUGUUGGUGGUAUCACCCCCCCCUGU
This 270-nucleotide ribosomal RNA is filed under the name uncultured bacterium. RNAcentral's name for it is "partial 16S ribosomal RNA". It matches the Rfam family "Bacterial small subunit ribosomal RNA", at positions 576 to 844 of the family's 1533-position model. The record is from RNAcentral.